GUGAAUCAUCGAAUCUUUGAACGCAAAUUGCACUCUCUUCGGAGAGUAUGCCUGUUUGAGGGUCAGCCUAAAAAAAAUCUUCAUAGUCGCUGUUUCUCUUUGACAUUCGUCGGAAAUUGGGUCAUCUUAAACCUUUUGGUUUUAAGCGGCUUAAAAUUUUCUUUACGAUUCCACGAACUUUUCUAAGAUUUACUUACACGUUUAAGGUAUCUAUCUUUAUUAUACGUUGCCGUUGCAUCUGAUCUCGUCCAUAAAUAUUUCGUUAACUGACCUCAUACAGUUACGAACACCCACUGACCGU
RNAcentral lists this unclassified non-coding RNA (301 nucleotides) under Glomus sp. RNAcentral describes it as "partial contains 5.8S ribosomal RNA and internal transcribed spacer 2". The stretch from base 1 to 65 matches the Rfam family "5.8S ribosomal RNA", at positions 84 to 154 of the family's 154-position model. Lineage: Eukaryota; Fungi; Glomeromycota; Glomeromycetes; Glomerales; Glomeraceae. The record is from RNAcentral.